RNAcentral lists this transfer RNA (71 nucleotides) under Loxodonta africana (African savanna elephant). It matches the Rfam family "tRNA". From Rfam's summary of the family: Transfer RNA (tRNA) molecules are approximately 80 nucleotides in length. Their secondary structure includes four short double-helical elements and three loops (D, anti-codon, and T loops). The record is from Rfam by way of RNAcentral. Lineage: Eukaryota; Metazoa; Chordata; Mammalia; Proboscidea; Elephantidae.
GCAUUAGUGGUUCGAUGGUAGAAUUCUUGCCUUCCAUGCGGGAGAUCCAGGUUUGAUUCCCGGCCAAUGCA